GUCGUAAUACAGUACAUGAUAUAUAAGGCAUGGAGAUGUUAUUGUUACAGAUCAGCUCAAUUAUCUUUACCCGGUGAGGUAAGAACAAAAAAAUUGCGAAAGCAAACUUACAGAUCUAACAUUUGAUGUUUAGACAAGUUGUAUAUACAUAAUGAACACAUCCAUGUAUCACCAUCAUUGCUGGUGAUCCGAUGGAUAAAUCUGUUGCAGAGUUGUCACUGACUCAGACGUACUUAUAUUUGAUUUAAUAUAUAUAGAGAGAAUAUUUAGUUAACCUGAAUGUUAAUAAUAAAAUAGGGAAAUAUAAAAUUCAUGGUUUUAAACAAGGGAAAUAGAAUUUGCAUAAUAAUCCUGCGCCACAUCACAGAAUUUUGCUGGUGCGUUGUUGUUUUCCUAUCUUUUCGGGGUAAGGUAAUAAAUGUGUAUAAACGGGUUCACACAUACACACAUUAUUAUAUUUAAAGCAUAAAAACAAAACUUCUAAAGUGUAAACAAUGAAUGAAAAUAUAAUUUGAUAAUCUAUUUUUCAAUAUCUUUGAUUGAAAAAAUUGAAAAUGUUCCACACAAAAAC
This 571-nucleotide long non-coding RNA is filed under the name Mytilus galloprovincialis (Mediterranean mussel). The record is from RNAcentral. Lineage: Eukaryota; Metazoa; Mollusca; Bivalvia; Mytilida; Mytilidae.